Molecule: long non-coding RNA, 491 nt
Organism: Molossus molossus (Pallas's mastiff bat)
Lineage: Eukaryota; Metazoa; Chordata; Mammalia; Chiroptera; Molossidae
Exons: 3
Source: RefSeq, a predicted model, not a curated record
GUGUAACUAACUUGGCUGGCAGUUUGAUAAGCAACACCUGAAUGACAUAAACAGGAGGUGGUAAAUUCCAAGCACAGCCUGCAUGAGAAGUGCAACUAAUUUUCCAUAACCCAGAUGCCUUUUUAACACAUCCAUGCAGUCUCCAUCUAAGACCAGGUGCUGUUCCCAAAGGAGAAAACACUGCCCUCCAGUGGUCUUCUUUGGAGAAAUGAAAACAGUUUCAGGUGGAAACCAGUCUUCUUGGAAGACUUCAAACUCUGCCAAAUGGUCUGAUUUUACCAUAGAGAUUCUUUGCUGAGGAAUGCAGCUCUGUUAGAGGAAGAAACCAAGCAACAGCUCCUUAGCAUUUAACAAGCAUUUUAAAGACAGUACAAUUAUUUAUUUAAGCGACUUAAACACAAGUUCUUGCCUUUCACUCCCACCCUGUGGCUUACACUGGUAUUACAUUUAUUCUAACAUUUAAAAGUCAACUUUGAAAAACGUAAUAUAAU